UUUUCAUCUCGCUGACAAAAAAUUAAUUUUAGCUUCCUAUUAUGUCAUACAAACAAUAUUUCUGUUACCUCUUCCUCUCACGUUGCUGUCAGCCCAGGUUGAAUAUUGAUUCCCAGACCACACGGAAGAGGAAACCCACACGGCGAAGUUCAGAAGCGUCCUGUUAGCGUAAAUGGCCGUUAAACCAGAAAGCUCCUACAUGCCGGAGCCCGGAGCUCCACUUCGCAGGUUUUUACCCUCAAGUCGCGCUGAUUAUCCUGGGAUGACAGGUUUAAAAGGAGAAGAAGCCUCAUCUGUUGAUCUUCAUCUGUUGCUAAGUGCCUGAGAAUGUCAUCAAUAUCUUAGACUACAUUUGAAUACUCUGAUGAUGGACUUGCACAGAACUUUAUCUGAUCUGAAGAAGAGAAUUUUCCUAGCUGUGAACUGGCUUCCUAGGAUCGUGUCACUGUCAGAUUGUGCAUUUAUUCUGUAGAACAUUAUAAGUAAGUGAGAAAAAUGUCUUAAAAUAUUUAUCUAUGUGUGUGCGUCCGUGUUCUUUUUUGUUCUUUCUGAAGUCUAGCUGGCUGGUUCAACUCAGCUGUUCUGGCUCAAACUCCUCUCCCAGAUGACUUAUUCAAUCUGGCUUCUCGCAGCCUCUGAGUUGCUCUGCCUGGCCUCAUAUUGACUUUGGC
RNAcentral lists this long non-coding RNA (671 nucleotides) under Mus spicilegus (steppe mouse). RNAcentral describes it as "lncRNA (ENSMSIG00000019674.1)". The record is from RNAcentral. Lineage: Eukaryota; Metazoa; Chordata; Mammalia; Rodentia; Muridae.